RNAcentral lists this ribosomal RNA (425 nucleotides) under uncultured bacterium. Its description in RNAcentral is "partial 16S ribosomal RNA". It matches the Rfam family "Bacterial small subunit ribosomal RNA", at positions 354 to 796 of the family's 1533-position model. The record is from RNAcentral.
GUAGGGAAUAUUGCACAAUGGAGGAAACUCUGAUGCAGCGACGCCGCGUGAGUGAUGAAGGCCUUCGGGUCGUAAAACUCUGUGAUAAGGGAAGAUGAUGACGGUACCUUAUCAGAAAAGACCGGCUAACUUCGUGCCAGCAGCCGCGGUAAUACGAGGGGUCUAAGCGUUGUUCGGAAUCACUGGGCGUAAAGCGGGUGUAGGUGGCUAUGCAAGUUGGAUGUGAAAGCCCCGGGCUCAACCUGGGAAGUGCAUCCAAAACUACGUAGCUUGAGUGCGGGAGAGAAAGGCAGAAUUCCUGGUGUAGUGGUGAAAUACGUAGAUAUCAGGAGGAACUCCGGUGGCGAAGGCGGCCUUUUGGCCCAGCACUGACACUCAGACCCGAAAGCGUGGGUAGCAAACAGGAUUAGAAACCCUAGUAGUCC